CCGGUAAACGGCGGCCGUAACUAUAACGGUCCUAAGGUAGCGAAAUUCCUUGUCGGGUAAGUUCCGACCUGCACGAAUGGCGUAAUGAUGGCCAGGCUGUCUCCACCCGAGACUCAGUGAAAUUGAACUCGCUGUGAAGAUGCAGUGUACCCGCGGCAAGACGGAAAGACCCCGUGAACCUUUACUAUAGCUUGACACUGAACAUUGAGCCUUGAUGUGUAGGAUAGGUGGGAGGCUUUGAAGUGUGGACGCCAGUCUGCAUGGAGCCGACCUUGAAAUACCACCCUUUAAUGUUUGAUGUUCUAACGUUGACCCGUAAUCCGGGUUGCGGACAGUGUCUGGUGGGUAGUUUGACUGGGGCGGUCUCCUCCUAAAGAGUAACGGAGGAGCACGAAGGUUGGCUAAUCCUGGUCGGACAUCAGGAGGUUAGUGCAAUGGCAUAAGCCAGCUUGACUGCGAGCGUGACGGCGCGAGCAGGUGCGAAAGCAGGUCAUAGUGAUCCGGUGGUUCUGAAUGGAAGGGCCAUCGCUCAACGGAUAAAAGGUACUCCGGGGAUAACAGGCUGAUACCGCCCAAGAGUUCAUAUCGACGGCGGUGUUUGGCACCUCGA
Molecule: ribosomal RNA, 610 nt
Filed under: Escherichia coli
Lineage: Bacteria; Pseudomonadati; Pseudomonadota; Gammaproteobacteria; Enterobacterales; Enterobacteriaceae
Description: partial 23S ribosomal RNA
Rfam family: Bacterial large subunit ribosomal RNA
Source: RNAcentral